UGGUGGGGAAAGGAGGUGAAGGUCUGUCCUUCUGUUGUUGCUCUGGGCUGGUGUCCCUGUUCAGCACUAAAGGAAAGUGCAGCCUUGCAAGCAGACACUGCUUGGAAGCAGGAGCUGGAGACACCUGAAUUGGCUGACUCUGAAGAUGUCAUAAUCAAGGAGGAGACACUAAUGAGAAGCUGCUGGUGAAUUUGGCAUUUCUCAGUCACUUCCAUGUGAAUACCUGGAGAAAACACUGCAUUGACAACUGCCAGAGUGAACUGAAAGCUACAUGAGAGUGGGGAUGUUGGCUUCUCUGAAUAAUCAAGACUCCUGAAUAAUCAAGAAUCAACAGUCCUAUCAAUAGAUAGAAAGGUGACACACUGACUUAUAAGCAAGGAGAUUCUUUCUGGGCUUGUGAUUCCACAGUUAUCCAAUACAGAGCUGGUGACAGUUGUCUUUUGCACCAGACUCAUCAUGCA
This is a long non-coding RNA of Nothoprocta perdicaria, 461 nucleotides long. RefSeq lists it as uncharacterized. The record is from RefSeq and is a predicted model, not a curated record. Lineage: Eukaryota; Metazoa; Chordata; Aves; Tinamiformes; Tinamidae. The transcript is spliced from 3 exons.